This 460-nucleotide ribosomal RNA is filed under the name uncultured bacterium. Its description in RNAcentral is "partial 16S ribosomal RNA". It matches the Rfam family "Bacterial small subunit ribosomal RNA", at positions 338 to 795 of the family's 1533-position model. The record is from RNAcentral.
CCUACGGGUGGCAGCAGUGAGGAAUAUUGGUCAAUGGACGAGAGUCUGAACCAGCCAAGUAGCGUGAAGGAUGACUGCCCUAUGGGUUGUAAACUUCUUUUAUAUGGGAAUAAAAUGUUCCACGUGUGGGAUUUUGUAUGUACCAUAUGAAUAAGGAUCGGCUAACUCCGUGCCAGCAGCCGCGGUAAUACGGAGGAUCCGAGCGUUAUCCGGAUUUAUUGGGGUUAAAGGGAGCGUAGGUGGAUGGUUAAGUCAGUUGUGAAAGUUUGCGGCUCAACCGUAAAACUGCAGUUGAAACUGGCAGUCUUGAGUACAGUAGAGGUGGGCGGAAUGCGUGGUGUAGCGGUGAAAUGCUUAGAUAGCACGAAGAACUCCGAUUGCGAAGGCAGUUCACUGGACUGCAACUGACACUGAGGCUCGAAAGUGUGGGUAUCAAACAGGAUUAGAUACCCGUGUAGUC